This 253-nucleotide ribosomal RNA is filed under the name uncultured bacterium. RNAcentral describes it as "partial 16S ribosomal RNA". It matches the Rfam family "Bacterial small subunit ribosomal RNA", at positions 524 to 776 of the family's 1533-position model. The record is from RNAcentral.
UACGUAGGGGGCAAGCGUUGUCCGGAAUUAUUGGGCGUAAAGAGCGCGUAGGCGGUCCGGUAAGUCGGUUGUGAAAGUCGGGGGCUCAACCCUCGGAUGCCGAUCGAUACUGUCGGGCUAGAGUGCGGAAGAGGCGAGUGGAAUUCCUGGUGUAGCGGUGAAAUGCGCAGAUAUCAGGAGGAACACCUAUUGCGAAGGCAGCUCGCUGGGACGUUACUGACGCUGAGACGCGAAAGCGUGGGGAGCAAACAGG